RNAcentral lists this ribosomal RNA (445 nucleotides) under uncultured bacterium. Its description in RNAcentral is "bacterial SSU rRNA". It matches the Rfam family "Bacterial small subunit ribosomal RNA", at positions 354 to 796 of the family's 1533-position model. The record is from RNAcentral.
GUGAGGAAUAUUGGUCAAUGGAGGCAACUCUGAACCAGCCAAGUCGCGUGAAGGAUGAAGGUCUUAUGGAUUGUAAACUUCUUUUGCAAGGGAAUAAAGUGGGGGACGUGUCCUCCUUUGCAUGUACCUUGCGAAUAAGGAUCGGCUAACUCCGUGCCAGCAGCCGCGGUAAUACGGAGGAUCCGAGCGUUAUCCGGAUUUAUUGGGUUUAAAGGGUGCGCAGGCGGGAUGUUAAGUCGGCGGUGAAAUUUUGCAGCUCAACUGUAAAAGUGCCUUCGAUACUGGCUUUCUUGAGUGUGGAUGAAGUAGGCGGAAUUUGUGGUGUAGCGGUGAAAUGCUUAGAUAUCACGAGGAACUCCGAUUGCGCAGGCAGCUUACUAAACCACUACUGACGCUCAUGCACGAAGGCGUGGGGAUCAAACAGGAUUAGAAACCCCAGUAGUCC